RNAcentral lists this non-coding RNA (77 nucleotides) under uncultured Tidjanibacter sp. Lineage: Bacteria; Pseudomonadati; Bacteroidota; Bacteroidia; Bacteroidales; Rikenellaceae. The record is from RNAcentral.
AAGGGGGUGCCUCCGUGGGGGCGGCUGAGAUUAUACCCAAUGAACCUGAUACGGUCAAUACCGUCGUAGGGAUUUUU